This 726-nucleotide long non-coding RNA is filed under the name Elaeis guineensis (African oil palm). RNAcentral describes it as "long non-coding RNA (EGUI_LNC003907)". The record is from RNAcentral. Lineage: Eukaryota; Viridiplantae; Streptophyta; Magnoliopsida; Arecales; Arecaceae.
GAAAAAUUUAUGAAUGUUUGCAUUAUUCUGGACAUUGAACAUGAGAUUUUAUAUUUUAUUGCUUAUCUUUAUUUUCAGACUAUAUUAUUAUAUCAGUGUGAUAUGGGAAUUCUUAUUGGGCUGUAAAGCUCACACCCCUUCAUCUUUCUUUUUCUUCUCAGAGUUACAGGAUGAUUUAGAUUGGCUAUGGCUUGGAUUUACGGGUGAGCAGAUGGAUAGAUAGAGUGUUAUAGUAUCUGAUCAGAAAAUUGAAGAAAUUUAAAUUGUAAUUAUGCAAGAUUUUAUGAAUUAUUGUUGAAAUUAAAUAUUAUGGUUGAUAAGAUUGUAAUGAUUUAAUUUGGCCUUGCAUAUUCUUUAGGGCUUGCUCUAAGGAGUGUGCGGCCAUCACGUAUCCGACCCGGGUGUUGGGUUCGGGGCGUGACACAGUCCCUCCUUUUUCAUCUAUCCUUCCUAUAACUUUUCGAACCAACGGUGGAUGGAGGCCAUCCAUCCUUUCAACUUUAUCCAUCCACCCUCUCAUGAUCCAACCAAACACAGGGUUAGUGUGGGCCAACAACUGAAAUCUCACUUACCUAACCAUAACCUGUUACUUCUUCUACUUGUAGUCUCUACUUCAUACAUCUGCUUACAAAUAUACCUUUUGAGGUUCCUACAAGACUUGUUGCAUCUCUCUCUGUAGCUUAUUUAUUGGGAACAACUCCAAGUUUCAAAUGCACAAAAUGACAG